GACAGAGGGUGCGAACGUUGUUCGGAAUUACUGGGCGUAAAGCGCGUGUAGGCGGCAGCGCAAGUCGGGCGUGAAAUCCCACGGCUCAACCGUGGAAGUGCACUCGAAACUGCGCAGCUAGAGUCCUGGAGAGGAAGGUGGAAUGUUUGGUGUAGAGGUGAAAUUCGUAGAUAUCAAGCGGAACACCGGUGGCGAAGGCGACCUUCUGGACAGUGACUGACGCUGAGACGCGAAAGCGUGGGGAGCAAACAGG
RNAcentral lists this ribosomal RNA (253 nucleotides) under uncultured bacterium. RNAcentral's name for it is "partial 16S ribosomal RNA". It matches the Rfam family "Bacterial small subunit ribosomal RNA", at positions 524 to 776 of the family's 1533-position model. The record is from RNAcentral.